UAACGAAUCUUCCGCAAUGCACGAAAGUGUGACGGAGCGACGCCGCGUGGAGGACGAAGUUCUUCGGAAUGUAAACUCCUGUCAGGGGUUAGAAAGUUCUGAUCAACCCCAGAGGAAGGCACGGCUAACUCUGUGCCAGCAGCCGCGGUAAGACAGAGGUGCCAAGCGUUAGGCGGAAUCACUGGGCUUAAAGCGUGUGUAGGUGGACUGGUUAGUACCUUGUGAAAUCCCACGGCUCAACCGUGGAACUGCUUGGUAUACUGCUGGUCUUGAGCAACCUAGGGGUCAGUGGAACAAAUGGUGGAGCGGUGAAAUGCGUAGAUAUCAUUUGGAACGCCAAUGGUGAAAACAACUGACUGGGGGUUUGCUGACACUGAGACACGAAAGCCAGGGGAGCAAACGGGAUUAGAUACCCCGGUAGUCC
This 424-nucleotide ribosomal RNA is filed under the name uncultured bacterium. RNAcentral describes it as "bacterial SSU rRNA". It matches the Rfam family "Bacterial small subunit ribosomal RNA", at positions 355 to 796 of the family's 1533-position model. The record is from RNAcentral.